UACGAGAGGCCCAAACGUUAUUCGGAUUUACUGGGCUUAAAGAGUUCGUAGGCGGCUCGGUAAGUAGGGUGUGAAAGCCCUCGGCUCAACCGAGGAAUUGCGCCCUAAACUGUCGCGCUCGAGGAACCUAGAGGUGAGCAGAACUGAUGGUGGAGCGGUGAAAUGCGCAGAUAUCGGGAGGAACACCAAUGGCGAAGGCAGCUCGCUGGGACGUUACUGACGCUGAGACGCGAAAGCGUGGGGAGCAAACAGG
This 253-nucleotide ribosomal RNA is filed under the name uncultured bacterium. RNAcentral describes it as "partial 16S ribosomal RNA". It matches the Rfam family "Bacterial small subunit ribosomal RNA", at positions 524 to 776 of the family's 1533-position model. The record is from RNAcentral.